UACGAACGCUGGCGGCGUGCUUAACACAUGCAAGUCGAACGGAAGGGCCCUGCUUUUGUGGGGUGCUCGAGUGGCGAACGGGUGAGUAACACGUGAGUAACCUGCCCUUGACUUUGGGAUAACUUCAGGAAACUGGGGCUAAUACCGGAUAGGAGCUCCUGCUGCAUGGUGGGGGUUGGAAAGUUUCGGCGGUUGGGGAUGGACUCGCGGCUUAUCAGCUUGUUGGUGGGGUAGUGGCUUACCAAGGCUUUGACGGGUAGCCGGCCUGAGAGGGUGACCGGCCACAUUGGGACUGAGAUACGGCCCAGACUCCUACGGGAGGCAGCAGUGGGGAAUAUUGCACAAUGGGCGGAAGCCUGAUGCAGCAACGCCGCGUGCGGGAUGACGGCCUUCGGGUUGUAAACCGCUUUCGCCUGUGACGAAGCGUGAGUGACGGUAAUGGGUAAAGAAGCACCGGCUAACUACGUG
This 468-nucleotide ribosomal RNA is filed under the name uncultured bacterium. Its description in RNAcentral is "partial 16S ribosomal RNA". It matches the Rfam family "Bacterial small subunit ribosomal RNA", at positions 29 to 507 of the family's 1533-position model. The record is from RNAcentral.